AAGUGUAUUGUUGAUUAGUCUCCUAUUCUCAAUGUAUGACAAAUUAUAAUGGCUGUUUGUUAGCUGUUUGAAUACUAUGCUACACUAAAACCGGAUGAUAGUAUUCUGUUGUAGUCUAGCUGACUUAGCAAAAAAAAAUCCCUUACACUAUUAGGCUACAUUAUUUAGGAAAGUUAUCUUACUGUAAUUACAGAGUAAUGCAUUACUUCCAAACUGAUGUUGUGAUAGCCUAUUCAAUAAAAUGCUUGUUAUACAUAUAAUUCUAAAUAUUUGGUAAAUUGGGCAAAAUUAUGUUUGUUUUAAUUAUGAAAAUCAUGCUUGCAUGUAUCAGAGUUUUAUAUUGGGUUUCUAUUCAGGGGCACUUCUGAAAUAGUUUGGAGCACCCUCUGCCACUGCCACUGCCCAAGAUGAGGAGCCAUCCACCUCCUCAGCCACAUAUGUGUCUCCACAAAUGUCUGAUCCCGAGGAUGAAGACCCAAUUGCGGCCACUUCAGAAAUGCCUGGAGCUGAACCCCCUGAGGAUGAGCCCCUGCCUACGGACCCUACAAACUGGUCUUCAGAUAUCACUGACAGCAUUCAAAUACAGCUGGUUUUCAAAGGACCAAGUAAGGUAGCACCCAACUUUGUUUUCCCUAGAAAUGAGGGUGAUGGAAGAAGUUGCCACCACCAGUAUUUUAAGAAAACACUAGUUAGCGGUGAAAAGAUGCCUAGAAGCUGGCUAGUAUAUUCUGAGAAAAACAACAGCCUUUUUUGCUUCUGCUGCAAGCUGUUUUCUAUAAGACACAUCAAUUUAACAAGUUCUGGACUGACAGAUUGGAAGCAUGCCAGUUCUCUUCUCACCUCACAUGACAAUAGUCCUGAACACCAUAACUCCAUAAAAGCAUGGGAAGAACUGGUAGUGAGGAUUAAAAAAGGUGAAACAAUUGACAAACAAGAGAUGGCACUUCUGCAGGCUGAGAAAAUAAGAGAGUGGUGCUGAGUCGUCUCACUGCUGUCAUUCAGGCUCUCGCAAUCAGAAAUUUAGCACUAAGGGGACACACAGAAACAUUCUUUUCUCCAUCAAAUGGCAAUUUUCUAAAAGAAGUUGAACUCAUGGCAAGGUUUGAUCCCAUAAUGCAAGAACACAUUAACCAUGUCCAGAAAGGCACUUGCAGUCACACCAGCUAUCUCGGUCACCAUGUACAAAACAAACUCAUUGAUUUGUUGAGUAGCUAGUAGUAUCAUCAGCUAGUAGUUGAUGAUAUCAAGCUGGCAAAGUUUUUUUCAAUAAUUCUAGAUUGCACUCCAGAUAUUAGCCACACUGAACAGCUGUCAGUUGUGAUUCGGAUUGUGUCAUUACAAGAGAAGCCCCAUAUUACGGAGUAUUUUAUGGGAUUUUUGGAAGCUGACGAAUCCACAGGGAAACAUUUCGCAUUGAUGAUUUUAAACAGGCUGGAAGAGCUGAAAAUUCCCUUUGAGGACUGCAGAGGUCAGUCAUAUGACAAAGGGGCCAACAUGAGGGGAAAAAACAAGAGCGUUUAAGCCAGGCUCCUGGAACUGAAUCCUAGAGCUCUCUUUGUUCCCUGGGGAGCUCAUGCACUGAAUUUAGUUGUGGCUGAUACUGCAAAGGGAUCUAUUGAUGCCACAAGUUACUUUGGGAUUUUGCAAAAACUUUACAGUUUGUUUUCAGCCUCCACUCAGAGAUGGGCCAUCCUAAAAAAAACAUGCUAACAUUACACUGAAGAUGUGGUCUGAAACAAGGUGGGAAAGUAAGAUCAACAGCUUUGAGCCCCUGAGGUACCAAGCAUCUGCAGUGAGAGAGGCUUUGAUUGAGGUGAGAGACCACACCAAAGACUCAGUCAUAAAGACUGAGACUCAGUCUUUGUCUGAGGAGGUGGGAUCAUACAGAUUCAGCAUUUGUACAGUGGUGUGGUUUGACUUCCUGAACCAAACCCACCAUGUGAUCAAACUCAUGCAGUCUCCCAACAUGCCAGUGGAUGUAGUGGUCAAUCUCCUGAACAAAUCAGAGAAAGGUCUCCGCAACUACAGGGCAACAGGCAUCUGCACAAAUGUCAGCCAAGGAUAUGUGUGAGGACAUGAACGCAGAGGCUGCUCUGCAACAGAAAAUACUGAGAUCUACAAAGCGGCACUUCUCUUACGAAUCAUUUGAUGAGCCAUUGAGUGAUGCCCUAAAGAAGCUGGAGGUGACCUUUUUAAUGUUGUUGUUGCAGUGUGUUCCAUCCAAGAGAGAUUCACCACAUUGUAAAAUGUGAGAGAGAAAUGUGAAGUACUGACACAUUUUCCAAAUCUCUCAAAUGAUGACCUCACUGAUCAGUGUGAGGCCCUCAGUGCUACUUUGCUUUUUCAGGACCAAUCAGACUUGGAUGCCAGGGAGCUUGCAAAGGAGAAUACGAAUUUGCCUGACUUACCAUCAAAAUCUAUGACCUCUCUUGAGCUGCUGAACUUUGUGCAUGACAGUGAACUCUCAGAAAUAUACCCAAAUUUUUGGACUGCUCUGAGAAUUGCAGUUACUCUACCUGUAACUGUGGCUUCAGCAGAGAGGAGCUUUUCAAAGCUGAAACUUGUGAAGACAUAUCUGAGUUCCACUAUGUCUCAGGAACGCCUCACUGGCCUUGCCAUCAUCAGCAUCAAUCACGCAAUUGCAGACCAGAUUUCAUAUGAUGACAUUAUUGAUGACUUUGCAUCAAGGAAGGGCACCUCUAGAAAGUUCCAUGAAUGCCUCAACAAAUCCCCCCACCAGCCCCACCCGACCAAAAUGUGGCUG
Molecule: RNA transcript, 2764 nt
Organism: Polypterus senegalus (gray bichir)
Lineage: Eukaryota; Metazoa; Chordata; Cladistia; Polypteriformes; Polypteridae
Gene name: zinc finger MYM-type protein 5-like
Exons: 3
Source: RefSeq, a predicted model, not a curated record